GAUGAACGCUGGCGGCGUGCCUAAUACAUGCAAGUCGAGCGAACAGACGAGGAGCUUGCUCCUCUGACGUUAGCGGCGGACGGGUGAGUAACACGUGGAUAACCUACCUAUAAGACUGGGAUAACUUCGGGAAACCGGAGCUAAUACCGGAUAAUAUAUUGAACCGCAUGGUUCAAUAGUGAAAGACGGUUUUGCUGUCACUUAUAGAUGGAUCCGCGCCGCAUUAGCUAGUUGGUAAGGUAACGGCUUACCAAGGCAACGAUGCGUAGCCGACCUGAGAGGGUGAUCGGCCACACUGGAACUGAGACACGGUCCAGACUCCUACGGGAGGCAGCAGUAGGGAAUCUGCCGCAAUGGGCGAAAGCCUGACGGAGCAACGCCGCGUGAGUGAUGAAGGUCUUCGGAUCGUAAAACUCUGUUAUUAGGAAGAACAAAUGUGUAAGUAACUAUGCACGUCUUGACGGUACCUAAUCAGAAAGCCACGGCUAACUACGUG
RNAcentral lists this ribosomal RNA (496 nucleotides) under uncultured bacterium. RNAcentral describes it as "partial 16S ribosomal RNA". It matches the Rfam family "Bacterial small subunit ribosomal RNA", at positions 28 to 507 of the family's 1533-position model. The record is from RNAcentral.